GACGAACGCUGGCGGCAUGCCUAACACAUGCAAGUCGAACGGAACUCUCUGGAUCAAGACUUCGGUCAAGUGAAUUAGAGUUUAGUGGCGGACGGGUGAGUAACGCGUGAGGAACCUGCCUUUCAGAGGGGGACAACAGUUGGAAACGACUGCUAAUACCGCAUAAUGUAUACGGAUCGCAUGGUCUGUAUACCAAAGAUUUUAUCGCUGAAAGAUGGCCUCGCGUCUGAUUAGCUAGUUGGUAGGGUAACGGCCUACCAAGGCGACGAUCAGUAGCCGGACUGAGAGGUUGAACGGCCACAUUGGGACUGAGAUACGGCCCAGACUCCUACGGGAGGCAGCAGUGGGGGAAUAUUGGGGCAAUGGGGGAAACCCUGAUGCAGCGACGCCGCGUGAGUGAAGAAGUAUUUCGGUAUGUAAAGCUCUAUCAGCAGGGAAGAAAAUGACGGUACCUGACUAAGAAGCCCCGGCUAACUACGUGCCAGCAGCCGCGGU
This 495-nucleotide ribosomal RNA is filed under the name uncultured bacterium. RNAcentral describes it as "bacterial SSU rRNA". It matches the Rfam family "Bacterial small subunit ribosomal RNA", at positions 28 to 521 of the family's 1533-position model. The record is from RNAcentral.